Pongo abelii (Sumatran orangutan) is the source of this 148-nucleotide unclassified non-coding RNA. It matches the Rfam family "Metazoan signal recognition particle RNA". From Rfam's summary of the family: The signal recognition particle (SRP) is a universally conserved ribonucleoprotein. It is involved in the co-translational targeting of proteins to membranes. Lineage: Eukaryota; Metazoa; Chordata; Mammalia; Primates; Hominidae. The record is from Ensembl.
GCCAGGUGUGUUGGCAUGCACCUGUAAUCCCAGCUACUAGGGAGGCUGAGGCAGGAGAAUCGCUUGAACCCAGGAGGUGGAGGUUGCAGUGAGCUGAGAUUGUGCCACUGCACUCCAGCCUGGGCAACAGAGAGAGAUUCUGUCUCAA